GUUUGCCGGUACCAUAUGAAUAAGCAUCGGCUAACUCCGUGCCAGCAGCCGCGGUAAUACGGAGGAUGCGAGCGUUAUCCGGAUUCAUUGGGUUUAAAGGGUGCGUAGGCGGAAGUGUAAGUCAGGGGUGAAAGUUUGCAGCUCAACUGUAAAAUUAGCCUUUGAUACUGCAUUUCUUGAGUACAUUUGAGGUAGGCGGAAGUGUGUUGUGUAGCGGUGAAAUGCUUAGAUAUAACACAGAACACCGAUUGCGAAGGCAGCUUACUAAACUAGUAACUGACGCUGAUGCACGAAAGCGUGGGGAUCGAACAGGAUUAGAUACCCUGGUAG
This 330-nucleotide ribosomal RNA is filed under the name uncultured bacterium. RNAcentral describes it as "bacterial SSU rRNA". It matches the Rfam family "Bacterial small subunit ribosomal RNA", at positions 467 to 793 of the family's 1533-position model. The record is from RNAcentral.